Long non-coding RNA from Sciurus carolinensis (gray squirrel), 2775 nucleotides. RefSeq lists it as uncharacterized. The transcript is spliced from 7 exons. The record is from RefSeq and is a predicted model, not a curated record. Lineage: Eukaryota; Metazoa; Chordata; Mammalia; Rodentia; Sciuridae.
CGCCAAGGGAGGAGCCGCCGCCGUAUUGCCUAGAGUAGGCGCCCUUCCUCCACUACCGUACUAGCCAGGGCCACUUCCUCCACUACGGUACUAGCAGGGUCUGCCCAGCGGCAGUGCGGCGCUGAGCAUCCACCGCCCCGCACACCGCAGGGGCUCCGCGUACCGCCGCGGUGCACCUCGAAGGGCUGGGGCGGCUUCCUCUGCCCUCCGCAAAGGCAGGACCGACGCGCGCGGCUCGGAGCCGCUGACUCCUGACUCAAGAGUUUUUCACCCUGGUUGGGGAGCUAGGAGGGUGAGACUGGGAGAAGGUUAGUCCAUUUCUGAUCCCACCUGUAUCCAGCCUCGGGGCUCUUGGCCCCAGAGGGAGGGUGAGUGUGUGAUGGCCUCGCUCGCGGAGGCCGCGUCGGACGCGUCGGACCUGUGCGGUAUCCGAAUUCACGCCUCAUCCAAACCUCCGCGAGCUCCUGGUGCUGGUGCGGGUGCCGGUGCUGGUGCAGAUGGUCACAGCGUCUCCUGGUCGGGGAACCCGACCUGCACGCUCUGGAGGCCUGGGCGAUCUUGGGCCAGGCCUUCAGCCCCUCUCGACUUCCGUUUCCCCAGUAGCUUUGCCCUCUGGGAGGCCAGAUAAAGUCCUGGACCCCAGCCCUGCCCCGCUGCCCCUCCUCUCCCUGCCCAGAACUCCGGAGCUGAGGCCCGCCCCCCCUUCCGGGGGAGGGGAGUAGGUUUGGAAGUCCAAGGGGCCCUUUCCAGCUUGAGGGAGUCCACACUUGCCCUCCGAGGGUGUGUCUGGGCCCAGUUUUCUUACUGGCACCAUGGAAAUAACCCAGCACUUUGGGUGCUAAGGUUUAAGGAGGUGCCAGGGAACUGGCCUUUCUCAGCCUGGGCGCAGGACACUAUUUGUCUUCUGCGAUCCAACGAGACCGUGGGAGCACUCCAGGUCUUCUGGCUAAGGACUCUGAGUACCCUAGCAUGCAAGAGCAAGGAAGUGGGGAAGAGACCCUGAAAAGCUGCACGAAGGAAUCCCCCCUCUACAGUUCCACAAGAUCCCCGCCUACUCACCUGCGCCCACGCCUGGCUGUACCACCCAGAACCAGCUGAUGCCUUUGCUGAUGCUGAGACAGACCAGGAGGUGAAGAAAGCUGAGUCGCAGGGACAGGCAUUCCGGCCGAGCCACGCCCCCCGUCCUGGGGUCCCCAGCUGCCUGGCUCCUGACACUGCUGCUUGAGGGCUCCCAGGCCAGAGGAUCUGCUGACACAACUGUCACAGCCCGUCAUCCACUCCUGGGGCCACACCUCGGCACAGACUCCAAGCCCCUGCAGCGGUGGUGAGCAGCCUUCCCCCGGCAGGGCUGGAGGGGAGUGAAGCUUGGCCGAGGCCAGUGGGGGCAGACCUGGGGCCCGCCGGCUUGGGUCCAGCCCCACCCCUCCUCCACACACCUUCUUCAAGGCCUUUUCCUCCCGCUUUUUCCAGACUCCCAGAAAAAUAAACAUCUACCCGGCAGCUGCCUGGCCCUCCUGAACUGCGCCCCAGGCAGUGGCCAGUGUCCAGGAAUUGGAGGCAGAGCAGGGCAGUUGGGGUCUCAGAAGCUGCAUCAUCCAGAGACCCUACUGGGCUGUAUGCCCUGCUUCCAGCGUGGCUGCUGCAGGAGGCCACCCUCACCAUGUGACCCCAACCCCACGUGGCUUCUGGCACCCUCAAAUGAACGCCCCGCCACCCGCCCACAAGUGUGCACCUCAGCUCUGCACCUUGGUGCCAGCCACCAAGUCCAGCCCACUCAGAAGGUGGCCAGGUGCAGUGGUGCCCAGCUGCAGUCCUAGCUGCUCCAGUGACUGAUGCAGGAAGGUCACUUGAACCCAGGAGUUUGAGGUCAGCCUGGGCAACACAGCGAGACCCCGUCUCAAAAUACGCAAACAAAACAAAUCAAAAGGAAAUCCACAAGACACGGGUUGAUCCCCAGCAGACAGCCUGCGACAUUCAGGGCACACAGCAUUGCACAACUGCCCUUUCGUUUCAAAACCUUCCCCUGAACCCAUGAAAACUCUGCACUCAUUACCUAAUUGCUGCAGGCCUGCCACCUGGUAAGCACUGCCGUGCAUUCUGUCCCUGGGGACUCCACAGUUCCUACACAGGCCUUUGUGCAGGUAGAAUCACAUACAUGGGCCUCCCUCCCUGAGAUAAUGCCCUUGCGGUUCACCUGCCUUGCAGGAUUUUCCAAUACUUCUCUCCUUUUUAUGGCAGAAUAACAUUCCAUUGUACAGAUACACUGUGUUUUGUUUAUUCAGUCACCUGCCAACGGACAGGGACUUGGGUCACUUUGAUCAUUUGCCUGUUGUGAACAAUGCUGUCGUGGACAUCCGUGUAUAUGUACUCGUGUGGACGUAUGGUUUUUCAUUUCUUUUCGGUAUGUACAGAGGAGUGGAAUUACUGGGGUGUGUGGUGAUUCCCUGUCUGACCUCUUGAGGAGCUAUCGAACCACGUCCACAGCAGCCCCACCAGCAAGAAGCCCAGAUUCUCCACGUCCUCGUCAACACUCUUACUCUCUGUGGGGUUUUGGUAUUUUUUUAUUAAAGCCAUUCUUGUGGGUGUGCGUGGCUCUGAUCUGCACUCUCUAGUAGCUAGUGAUGCUGAGCAGUUUUUCCUCACCUGUUGGCCAUUGGUAUGUCUUCUCUGGAGAAAUGUCUAUCCAAGUCCUUUUUCUUCCUUUUUUUAUUUUAUUUUUUCCAGUACUGGGGAUGGAACUCAGGUGCUGGGCAAGUGCUAUACCACUGAGCCACA